Long non-coding RNA from Lycium ferocissimum, 513 nucleotides. RefSeq lists it as uncharacterized. The record is from RefSeq and is a predicted model, not a curated record. Lineage: Eukaryota; Viridiplantae; Streptophyta; Magnoliopsida; Solanales; Solanaceae. The transcript has 4 exons.
GCUAUUAGACAUGCAAAGGACAUAGAUCCCCUUGAUUUGAAGAACUGCUAGCAGUGGAACCGUUUCCUUGAGAUACACUAUGAAAGAGUUGGGAAGGAUGGGCGGUUCAGUCAUAAAGAAGUCACUGUUUACUUCGUUCCAGACUUGUCUAAAUGCCUCCCUUCAUUAGAAUCAUGGCGUGAGAACUGGUUUACUCAAAAAAGGCUAUAGCUGAGAGAGAAAGGGAACUUGCUCUGAGGAAAGAGAAAUCCGGAGAGAAGGAAAGAUAGAAAGAUGCUAAGCGGGGUCCCAAGUCAGAGAAGAAAUCUGCAUCAGGACAGUCUGCAGACGGAAGCAAGAAGGACAAUGAUGGCAACCUGAAAGUGAAUACACCAAAUAAAGAAGGGUCUAAGAAAAAAGGUGGAAAGAGUAAACAAGCUCUUGAAACUUGUAAGGUGGGGAAUGAUAAUGCUGAACUGAAUCCAGGAGAAAGUGCUGCUAUUGAAACUGAUAGUAGUGCAAAGUCAGUUAAGA